Long non-coding RNA from Heterocephalus glaber (naked mole-rat), 3176 nucleotides. Lineage: Eukaryota; Metazoa; Chordata; Mammalia; Rodentia; Bathyergidae. The record is from Ensembl.
CCUUCAGAGUAUAGGAGCUCACACCGAGGACAGACUUGGACCUUGUCCUCGUCCCAUGGCUCAGAAAACUCUUCUGUAUUACAGGUGGACAAACCAUUUGAUAGUUCCUCUGGUGAUCUAUGGCUGAUAAAAUUAAACAGAGUGUUCUUUGCUUGGAAACCAAGGAGUUCAAAACAGAGCAGAUCUUCCUGACAAAGACUGAACAAACCUCAUGAAAUCUUGGAGCCUUUUGCCCUCCUCAUGUCCUGGGUCUAUUCUCACAGGGGGCAUGGAACUGUGUACAAAUUCGGAGAUUUUGAGAGUUAUUGGCUUCCAUUUUGGAUUUUAAGGUUGUGCUGGGCUCCAGACACUGGUCUUGGUUUUUAAGGGUGUUAGUAUCCCUAUUCUUGGCACCUGGCUUCAUGGGAAUGUUUGUGGAACCUAAAUGCCCUAUUAGUGGGACCGCUUCCUACCACCCUUAACCAUAUUGUCUAAUCAAGAUUAGCUCUUAGUAAACAUUUAUUACUGGAUGACAUAUGCUUAACUUCCUGGCUCUUAAACCAGGGGGUGUGCAUAGUGACACAGCACCCGCUAUGGCCUCUUCUUUCACGGUAGUCUGCUGGGAGGGUGCUCCCACCGUUGGCAUGGCAUGCAGUGAUCACAGUGAGAAGUAGCUCCUGAGUGCUGAUUUUCAGUACCCUAUGACAUGAGCUAUUUUCUCAGAACAUCAUCCAAGCAAGUCGUAAGUCCCAGCCCACAGCUGUGUGUCUAUUUUCACCUACUGUCUUUGCUUUGUGGAAGCCUUCAGAGCAGGCCAUGUGUUCUUCUGGCUCCUUUCUCAUAACCUUGCUACUUUAAGAAAUAAGCUUAUUAACUCCUAGGGGUUUUUUUUUUUUUUACUCUAUUUAACCAAAAUACAAACAUAUCUCUUCAAUUAUAUUUGUCCAAUUGUCCUUUGUGGAAAAUUAGGUUACUUUUUUGUUUGCUUAUCUUUGGGAAGAACCAUCAUGUAGGAAGGAUACUAAAUAUUCUUCUGUGGAGGAAGAUUCCAGCAGAUAAAGCUAUUCUCCUUUCUAUUGGUCUUUUCUGUGUUACUGUAAUGAAGUGCCCAAAGUAGCUGCUUUAUAAAGAAAAGAGGUUUAUUUUAGCUUACAGUUCUAGAGGUCUAAGGUUGAGUGCCACAUCUAGUAAUAUCCUUUUGUUGGCAAUAUCCUGAUGUGGUACAGGACAUUAUGUGGCAAGAGACAGGGAAUGUCCGUGUGUGCGUGCGUGUAGGCAUCCAUGCAUGCACGUGCCCACGCGUGUGUGUGUGUGUGUGUUGCCUCUGGUCUCUCUACUUAUAAAGCCAGCAGUAUUCAGUCAUGGAGUCUCCUCCUUGGUGAUUUAUGUAAUCCUAACCUCCUCCCGAAGGCCCCACCUCUAACACCACAGUCAGAUUAAGAUUCCACCCUCUUAAUACAGUGGGGAUGAAACUUCAGUAUGAGUUUCACAGGAGACUAACCAUAUGUAAACUGUACUAACCUUUUUCCUAAAAUCAAUCCUAGAGAAAGGGUGACUAUGGGCACUCCCCUCCUCUCUCUCUCUCUCUCUUUCUUUCUUUCUUUCUUUCUUUCUUUCUUUCUUGAUAUUGAACCUAUGGCCUUUCACAAGGUUAGCAUGUAUCCUGCCACUGAGGUACACCCCCAACCCUUUUAAUUUUUUUGAGACAGGACUUUUUUGAGACUAAGUUGCCCACCCUGGCCGGCCUUGAACUUGUAAUCCUCCUGCCUCAGCCUCCUGAGUAGCUGUGAUUAUAAGCAUGCAUCACUGCCCCUGGCUGAUAUGGUGCUUCUUAAGACACUAGGGCAGUGAGAGACCUUCUAAUACAUACUGUAUACAUUUGGGUAGGUAGCAAAGCUAACUUUUAGACAUUUUAAAUAAUUAUUAAGACCACCCUUCUGCUGAUGUAUGCCAAUAUUUUGCACUCGAAUACAGCUUUUUCUUAUUUUCUAAGUAUGUAUCUGUUAUCUCUUUAUCAAUGAAGUUAGUAAGAACUGUUUUUAUAACCUUGCUCAGUUUUUACCCUGAGACAAUAUUAUUGUACCUAGACAUCUUUUAAAAUAACUACUUUGCUCCUGCACUUUAUGUGUGUGUGUGUGUGUGGGGGUAUUUAAUUUGGAAAAAGAUUUAGAUUUACAAAGUGUCAUUAAGAUAAUACAGAGAGAUUCCUGUGUUCUCCACUCGGUGAGAUUUUUGUCCCUUUACUACUCCCAAGGAUAUCUGAAAAUGUCUGGAGGCAUUUUUUAGUUUUUCCCAAUGGGAUGUGCUGCUGACGUUGAAUAAAUUUAAAGAACAGUAGGUCCUUGACUUUACAAACAUUCGAGUUGCAGACUUCCACAGGUGUACUAUAGAAGACUCACUUUGUUGGCUGAUGAAUGAAUCCAACUUCUGAACAAUUCUCCCAGAUCGGAACUCGUUCAUAAGUCGGGGACUUAUUGAACUUGAAUUCCUGCUGAGAGGUAGUGUGGUUCCAUGGCAAUGGGGACAGAGGUGAGCAUUUCGGGGCACAGGUGUGUUGAUGGAAUUGUCUGCAUCCGUCUACUGCUUUAUUUUCCAUUAUAGGACUUGUAUUCAUUUACUUGUUUAUCUUUGUCUCCAUCCCCUUAGAAAGCAAACUCCACGAGGAAGGGAAUUUGCUUUGCUUAUGUUGUAUUCUUUGGCUCUCUAAUGGGGAUUACCCUGAAAGUCGUGCUGGAAGGGUCAUGUGAAGAUGCUUCAGACGGGAAGAACCACACAGGCCAAGUAUCCAAAUGACACAACACCUGGCUUCUGGCCUCCUCUAGGGUGUCCAGAACACUAUUUUGAAUUUGUUUAAUUCAGAUCUCUGCUGUGAUGAAGAGCACUGCUGCUGUCUGUGUGCACAGCAAUUGCUGGUAGCCACACUCUGCUCUAGGAAACACUUUGCAGAUGCUGCCAUAGAGUAGCUGGCCCUAUUGGCGCCCACAGCACUGCUUGGGGCUCCAAUUCCAUGCACCUUUACCAGCACCCGGAAUUAUUUAACUUUUAAAUUUUUGCCAAAUUUGAAAGAUUUACAAUUGUUCUGUUUUGUUUUGUUUUCUGGGUACCGGGGAUCGAACUCAGGACCUUGCGCUUUUGAGGCAGGCGACGGAAACACUGAGCUAAAUCCCCAGCCCUUACAAUUCAUUUUUAACAAUUUG